This is a long non-coding RNA of Micropterus dolomieu (smallmouth bass), 599 nucleotides long. RefSeq lists it as uncharacterized. The transcript is spliced from 2 exons. The record is from RefSeq and is a predicted model, not a curated record. Lineage: Eukaryota; Metazoa; Chordata; Actinopteri; Centrarchiformes; Centrarchidae.
GGCCCCUCCCUGCCCCGGUGACAUCAGCCGGAGCUGUGCCUCUUUCCUUCAGGAGAGAGCACACGGUGGAUCCGCACAUAACACAUCCAGCACCGCUGGGAGAGCUCGACGGAAACAGCUCCUGCUCGGCUAUUAUUAUUGUUUUCGCUUUCUCCAUGGGACAAAACAAGACUUCUUUUCCGCCAGAUAAGCGUCCCCCACCUCUUCCCCGGGCGAACGUGCGUCUUCUGGUGUCGCUCAGUUCCAGCUGAUUACAACACGAGUUGUGACAGGGAGGGCUCGGCUGUAGUUGGCAUCAGACAGGCAGCUGGUACCCCCCACCACGCUCGUUCCAACCUCAGCCCAGGACCCCUCCGUCUGCAGCCAGCCAUUAUACCAGGCAUGAGUCAUCCUGGAGCUCGGUCUUUCCCCAACAGCCCCCAUCGCCCCCCUUCCUUCACGCUCUGCAUCCCCUCGAGCUCAGAGUGAGUGUUCAUUGUUUUCAGCGAGUCAUCUUUGCCUGUUAAGGAAGCUCACCUUUUAGGUUUUGCAUACAGUUUCACCGACACAUACUGAUUGUUCCGUGACAUGCUGUCAAAGUAAAUCUCCCAGGACAGAAA